CUUCUCUCCAGUCUGCUGCAGGCAUAACAUUAAAAAAAUAGGGUUUUGCCAUGUCAUAGUGAUGAAUUGCAAAGGAAUUUGACCAUUUCAUUCUUGUUCAGUAAUCUUCAUUUUUAUGAUGGAGACUGCACACCUACUACUUACCUACAGGAUUAUUUCUUGUUUUAGGACACGACUGUAUGGUUUAUUCCCCCCUUUUAACCUGCCAUUUUUCAUAAAUCUACGUUCUUUGUUGAUUAAAGUAGAUUUCUCCUAAUUGUUCAGUAAAAUGACAUUAGGUGGGUUAGACACCUACUUUCGGCUCAAAUCUAAAAUGUGC
Molecule: non-coding RNA, 319 nt
Organism: Pelobates cultripes (western spadefoot toad)
Lineage: Eukaryota; Metazoa; Chordata; Amphibia; Anura; Pelobatidae
Source: the annotation of a GenBank genome assembly